UACGUAGGGUGCAAGCGUUAAUCGGAAUUAUUGGGCGUAAAGAGCUCGUAGGCGGUUUGUCGCGUCUGCCGUGAAAGUCCGGGGCUCAACUCCGGAUCUGCGGUGGGUACGGGCAGACUAGAGUGAUGUAGGGGAGACUGGAAUUCCUGGUGUAGCGGUGAAAUGCGCAGAUAUCAGGAGGAACACCGAUGGCGAAGGCAGGUCUCUGGGCAUUAACUGAUGCUGAGGAGCGAAAGCAUGGGGAGCGAACAGG
Molecule: ribosomal RNA, 253 nt
Filed under: uncultured bacterium
Lineage: Bacteria
Description: partial 16S ribosomal RNA
Rfam family: Bacterial small subunit ribosomal RNA
Source: RNAcentral